This 21-nucleotide non-coding RNA is filed under the name Arabidopsis thaliana (thale cress). The record is from RNAcentral. Lineage: Eukaryota; Viridiplantae; Streptophyta; Magnoliopsida; Brassicales; Brassicaceae.
AUUAUUACUGAUCAGUAAAAU